GACGAACGCUGGCGGCGUGCUUAACACAUGCAAGUCGAACGGAAAGGCCCUGCUUUUGUGGGGUGCUCGAGUGGCGAACGGGUGAGUAACAAGUGAGUAACCUGCCCCUGACUUUGGGAUAACUUCAGGAAACUGGGGCUAAUAACGGAUAGGAGCUCCUGCUGCAUGGUGGGGGUUGGAAAGUUUCGGCGGUUGGGGAUGGACUCGCGGCUUAUCAGCUUGUUGGUGGGGUAGUGGCUUACCAAGGCUUUGACGGGUAGCCGGCCUGAGAGGGUGACCGGCCACAUUGGGACUGAGAUGCGGCCCAGACUCCUACGGGAGGCAGCAGUGGGGAAUAUUGCACAAUGGGCGGAAGCCUGAUGCAGCAACGCCGCGUGCGGGAUGACGGCCUUCGGGUUGUAAACCGCUUUCGCCUGUGACGAAGCGUGAGUGACGGUACUGGGUAAAGAAGCACCGGCUAACUACGUG
Molecule: ribosomal RNA, 468 nt
Filed under: uncultured bacterium
Lineage: Bacteria
Description: partial 16S ribosomal RNA
Rfam family: Bacterial small subunit ribosomal RNA
Source: RNAcentral